This 397-nucleotide ribosomal RNA is filed under the name uncultured bacterium. Its description in RNAcentral is "bacterial SSU rRNA". It matches the Rfam family "Bacterial small subunit ribosomal RNA", at positions 29 to 410 of the family's 1533-position model. The record is from RNAcentral.
AACGAACGCUGGCGGCGUGCCUAACACAUGCAAGUCGUGCGAGAAAGUUCCUUCGGGAGCGAGUAAAGCGGCGCACGGGUGAGUAACACGUAGGUAACCUGCCCCCCAGUCUGGAACAACUAGAGGAAACUCUAGCUAAUGCCGGAUGAGACCACGAUCCCCUUCGGGGGUUGCGGCCAAAGAUGGCCUCUACUUGUAAGCUAUCGCUGAGGGAUGGGCCUGCGGGCCAUUAGCUUGUUGGUGAGGUAACGGCUCACCAAGGCUGUGAUGGCUAGCUGGUCUGAGAGGAUGACCAGCCACACUGGGACUGAGACACGGCCCAGACUCCUACGGAGGCAGCAGUGGGGAAUAUUGCGCAAUGGGCGAAAGCCUGACGCAGCGACGCCGCGUGGUGAUG